RNAcentral lists this long non-coding RNA (369 nucleotides) under Manacus vitellinus (golden-collared manakin). Its description in RNAcentral is "lncRNA (ENSMVIG00005018754.1)". Lineage: Eukaryota; Metazoa; Chordata; Aves; Passeriformes; Pipridae. The record is from RNAcentral.
UGGGUAUAGAGCUGAAUAUAAAUAAGGUUAUAAAUAAAAAGUUACUCCUGAUCCCUCAAGCUAUUUUAUGUCUGCAGAGUGCAAAACCAGCAUUAGAACUUGUUCGGUCUCCCUCUGUUCCUGGAGAAGAGGGCAAAGAGGAGGAAAAUUACAACAACCCUCCAUCUGUUGCUGCACCACAGCCUGGACAACCUGAAUCAAGUGCAAAACCAGCAUUAGAACUUGUUCGGUCUCCGUCUGUUCCUGGAGAAGAGGCUAAAGAGGAGGAAAAUUACAACAACCCUCCAUCUGUUGCUGCACCACAGCCUGGACAACCUGAAUCAGUAAGCACCAGCUUUGGUUGGCACUGUCUUUGGUGCAAAGCAGAGU